GGAGUGAUGGCAGAGUUUGGUUGAAUGCGGCAGCAUGCUAAGCUGUUAUAGUGGUUACACUAUCGGGGGUUCGAAUCCCUCUCGCUCCG
Molecule: transfer RNA, 89 nt
Filed under: Treponema sp.
Lineage: Bacteria; Pseudomonadati; Spirochaetota; Spirochaetia; Treponematales; Treponemataceae
Also listed under: 1 other name
Description: tRNA-Ser
Rfam family: tRNA
About the family: Transfer RNA (tRNA) molecules are approximately 80 nucleotides in length. Their secondary structure includes four short double-helical elements and three loops (D, anti-codon, and T loops). Further hydrogen bonds mediate the characteristic L-shaped molecular structure. tRNAs have two regions of fundamental functional importance: the anti-codon, which is responsible for specific mRNA codon recognition, and the 3' end, to which the tRNAs corresponding amino acid is attached (by aminoacyl-tRNA synthetases). tRNAs cope with the degeneracy of the genetic code in two manners: having more than one tRNA (with a specific anti-codon) for a particular amino acid; and 'wobble' base-pairing, i.e. permitting non-standard base-pairing at the 3rd anti-codon position.
Source: RNAcentral